Molecule: ribosomal RNA, 502 nt
Filed under: uncultured bacterium
Lineage: Bacteria
Description: bacterial SSU rRNA
Rfam family: Bacterial small subunit ribosomal RNA
Source: RNAcentral
GAUGAACGCUAGCGGCAGGCCUAAUACAUGCAAGUCGAGGGGCAGCGCGGUAGCAAUACUGGCGGCGACCGGCGCACGGGUGCGUAACACGUAUGCAACCUACCUUCAACUGGAGGAUAGCCCGGGGAAACUCGGAUUAAUACUCCAUAACACAGGGAUCCCGCAUGGGAAUAUUGUUAAAGCUACGGCGGUUGAAGAUGGGCAUGCGUUCGAUUAGCUAGUUGGUGUAGGUAACGGCUCACCAAGGCUACGAUCGAUAGGGGGUCUGAGAGGAUGAUCCCCCACACUGGUACUGAGAUACGGACCAGACUCCUACGGGAGGCAGCAGUAGGGAAUAUUGGUCAAUGGGCGCAAGCCUGAACCAGCCAUGCCGCGUGCAGGAAGAAGGGCCCCUCUGGGGUUGUAAAACUGCUUUUGAUAGGGAACAAAUGCCACUUGCGAGUGGAGCUGAGUGUACCUAUAGAAUAAGCACCGGCUAACUCCGUGCCAGCAGCCGCGGUAA